GUUCAUUCACUCAACUAAUAUUUACUGAACAUUUACUCUGUGCCUGGUCUGAUCUAGCUCUGUGCAAUACAUAUGUGUAAAAGGCACCAUCCCCACCCUCGGGGAGUUCAUGGACCUCGCUCAUUACAGGAUUUUGGUGGUGGGGACAGCAUUGUGCAAAGGUGGACAGGGGUCCCUCGACUCACAUCACAGAGGUUCUCAAGAGCACUGAGUUAGGUUCUUCCUGGAAGAACCUUCAGAAGGGUACCUGUGCGGACUCCUGCUCCCUGACAUGGUCCCCUUAAAUCCUGCUUCUGUAUAAAGUACCUUGAUUCCUAGAAGUUUAUCGACCAAGGUAGCUUUGGCUGAAUUGCGGUUCCACCACUCCGAUGCACAGAUGGAGGCCUGGCCCGGGAAUGAAGGGACUCGAGCCUGGGCCUGGCUUCCAGAUGGCACUCCCAGGCCCAAGGAAGUUUCCUCACCCCCACAGCAGACCUGCCUGUGUUCUCCUGACCAAACUUGACCUUGAGCUCCUAGAGACAGAGAUACGGACACUCAAAAGUCAAAGAAGUCUUGGGGCUGAAGACCAAGGAACAGAGCGAAACUAAUCCCAGGAUUCACUAAUUCCAUGACCCCAAGGGGACUGCCAACUGCCCAUUGGAUUACAGGAUGGGCACCUUCCCUCCCCAUCAUUUAAUCCAAAAGUUGACACAUGCCUCUGCCCCACUUUCUACGGCAGCUCUGAGAAUCUCCUUCCCACCAUACUGCUCCCCAAACCCACCAAGUACCUACUUGCCCAGACCUCAAAGUGGGCCUGUGGCUGCUGGGGUGAGACUCUGACCCUGAUCUGUCUGAUACAUCUCUCUGCCCACCUGGGAUAGGAACAACACGGAAGGAUGUCACUUAGAAUGAUUUGGGCAUUUUUCUGACCAAUGGAGGCUGGAAGCGAAGUAGAUAGCUGUGUGGGUCUGUUCCAGUCAGAGAAUAUUUUGAUAAUCCAGUAAAAUCGUUGUUGAUUACUCCUGGCUUGGUUUGUGUUUGAAGCUGGCAUUUUUCAUCUGUAAGUAUGUAUGUAUGUAUGCAUGUCCCUUUAAAAAAGUAGUUCAGUAAA
Long non-coding RNA from Mustela lutreola (European mink), 1090 nucleotides. RefSeq lists it as uncharacterized. Lineage: Eukaryota; Metazoa; Chordata; Mammalia; Carnivora; Mustelidae. The transcript is spliced from 3 exons. The record is from RefSeq and is a predicted model, not a curated record.